AGAUUUCCUGACGUUGACAUCCAAGCAAGAAAGGCGUGUACCUGAGGACCUGCCCGUGGUAGAAGUCUCAGCUUUUCUCAGAGACAGAGAUUAUGAUUGUGACAAGCAAGAACAUCUCCAGUAAUGAAGGUGCUGAUGGACAAGACCCUGGAUAGCUCUUCUUUUGCAGAGAAGGUCAUCAAUCCUGAGAACCACAGAUUAUCACUGUGUCAUCCACAAUGCAUAUAACAAAUUGAUUCAUAAAGCAGGGCUUACUCCAUAAUUAUUCAACUGAAAUGGAUAUUUGGGAAUCAUGGAAGGGGAAACAGCUCUCACAAUCAACCCUGGAGCGUGAUGACAUCAGUGACAACAGCACGCACGGAACAGGUGCACGUAUGAGCUACCUACUAAUACGCCCUGGAUUUUGAUUGUAUUUUGUGAAAACCUUGGUAUGGGUUAUUUUUAAAUGAAUGCUUUCCCAAAUUUGAUGCUGAAACUGGGAUGCAUCAAAAUUAGCUUGGUCAUAAUCUUGUCAGUGAUGUCAUCCAGAGGCCACCAGAAACACACCUGUAGCCCAGCAAAGUUGAGGCCAUCGACUGGCUGAUCACAGCAAGGAAGGCUGUGCACCACCGGGAGCCAGCAGCAGCUCAGCAGCAGCAGUGAGAGGGCCUUGGGAAAGACUUGGAGGGUUUGCCUUAUAUGAGGUGAUCUUGGGGAGAGUCAAGGAAACAGGUUGUGAUGGAUACUAUUGAGUGUCAACUUGGUUGGAUUGAAGGAUGCAAAGGAUUGUUCCUGGGUGUGCCUGUAAGAGUGUUGCCAAAGGAGAUUAACAUUUGAGUCAGUGGACUGGCAGAGGCAGACUCACCCUUAAACUGGGUGGGCACCAUCUAAUCAGCCGCCACAGCAGCUAAAAUAAAGCAGGCAGAAGAAGUUGGAAUGAGCAGACUUGCUGAGUCUUCCAGCCUUCAUCUUUCUCCCAUGCUGGAUGCUUCCUGCCCUUGAACAUCAGACUCCAGGUCCUUUUCAGCUUUUGGACUCUUGGAUUUACACCAGUGGUUUGCCAGGGGCUCCCAGGCCUUUAGCCACAGACUGAAGGCUGCACUGUCAGCCUCUCUACCUUUGAAGUUUGGGACUCAGACUGGCUUCUUGGCUCCUCAGCUUGCAGUCGGCCUAUUGUGAGACUUCCCCUUGUGAUCAUGUGAGCCAGCUCUCCUAAUAAACUCCCCUUCAUAUAUA
RNAcentral lists this long non-coding RNA (1215 nucleotides) under Macaca mulatta (Rhesus monkey). RNAcentral's name for it is "lncRNA (ENSMMUG00000061176.1)". The record is from RNAcentral. Lineage: Eukaryota; Metazoa; Chordata; Mammalia; Primates; Cercopithecidae.